Molecule: ribosomal RNA, 401 nt
Filed under: Monodelphis domestica (gray short-tailed opossum)
Lineage: Eukaryota; Metazoa; Chordata; Mammalia; Didelphimorphia; Didelphidae
Description: partial 16S ribosomal RNA
Rfam family: Bacterial large subunit ribosomal RNA
Source: RNAcentral
AAUUAAUUUUAACGGCCGCGGUAUCCUGACCGUGCAAAGGUAGCAUAAUCACUUGUCUCCUAAAUAGAGACUUGUAUGAAUGGCAAAACGAGGGUUUAACUGUCUCUUUUUCUCAAUCAAUGAAAUUGACCUACCCGUGCAGAGGCGGGUAUAACUAUAUAAGACGAGAAGACCCUGUGGAGCUUAAAAUUACAACUUAAAUUAAUUUAUAUUACACCCUAAGGGAUUAAUCUUACAAAACUUUUAAGCUGAAUUUUUGGUUGGGGUGACCUCGGAGCACAAACAACCCUCCGAAUGACAUAACUAAGACCAACACAUCUAAGUGCAACCUAAGCCAGUAAUUGACCCAAAACUUGAUCAACGGAACAAGUUACCCCAGGGAUAACAGCGCAAUCCUAUUU